UUUAUUUGGUUGGGGUGAUUUAAAGAUAAAUUAAAUUCUUUAAUAUAUAGAUUGGUGAUAUCUAAAUUUUAAAUCUAUAUUUUAUAAAUAUAAAAUAAAUUACCUUAGGGAUAACAGCGUAAUUUUUCUUAAAAGUUCUUAUUGAAAGGAAAGUUUGCGACCUCGAUGUUGGAUUAAAAUUAAUUUUUGGUGCAGUAACUUAAAAAUUGGGUCUGUUCGACCUUUAAAAUUUUACAUGAUCUGAGUUUAAACCGGUGUGAGCCAGGUUGGAUUCUAUCUUUAGAUUGUUAAUAUAUUUUAGUACGAAAGGACCAAAUAUAUAUUAAAUUAAUU
RNAcentral lists this ribosomal RNA (333 nucleotides) under Microtrichalus sp. BM0085. RNAcentral's name for it is "partial 16S ribosomal RNA". The stretch from base 110 to 268 matches the Rfam family "Bacterial large subunit ribosomal RNA", at positions 2473 to 2632 of the family's 2925-position model. The record is from RNAcentral. Lineage: Eukaryota; Metazoa; Arthropoda; Insecta; Coleoptera; Lycidae.